UACGUAGGGUGCAAGCGUUGUCCGGAAUUAUUGGGCGUAGAGAGCUCGUAGGCGGUCUGUCGCGUCGGCUGUGAAAACUCGGGGCUCAACUCCGAGCUUGCAGUCGAUACGGGCAGGCUAGAGUUCGGCAGGGGAGACUGGAAUUCCUGGUGUAGCGGUGAAAUGCGUAGAUAUCGAGAGGAACACCUGCGGCGAAGGCGGGUUGCUGGGCUGACACUGACGCUGAUGCGCGAAAGCCAGGGGAGCGAACGGG
RNAcentral lists this ribosomal RNA (253 nucleotides) under uncultured bacterium. RNAcentral describes it as "partial 16S ribosomal RNA". It matches the Rfam family "Bacterial small subunit ribosomal RNA", at positions 524 to 776 of the family's 1533-position model. The record is from RNAcentral.